This 71-nucleotide transfer RNA is filed under the name Caudoviricetes sp. RNAcentral describes it as "tRNA-Ile". It matches the Rfam family "tRNA". Rfam says of the family: Transfer RNA (tRNA) molecules are approximately 80 nucleotides in length. Their secondary structure includes four short double-helical elements and three loops (D, anti-codon, and T loops). Lineage: Duplodnaviria; Heunggongvirae; Uroviricota; Caudoviricetes. The record is from RNAcentral.
AGUUCGUUAGCUCAACGGCAGAGCAGUCGGCUUAUAACCGACCGAUCGGAGUUCAAGUCUCCGGCGAACUA